GGAUGAGAAAGAUACUUUAUACCUGUACAUUACGCUCCUAAGGUUUGCAAGGUAAGUAACAAAGAGCUAAAAAUCAAACUAUACAGCCAGCUAGGUUGAAGUAGGGGAAAAUAUACAGUGUGCUGGUGUCUGUGUUUGUGCAUGUGUUUGGAUCAUAUGUUCCAUAAUAACCUGAAACUAUUUAGUAUUCUUCUGCUUAAGUUUGGUCUGCGAGACUAUACAACAUGUGACCAAAGAGAAAGAUCCUCUUGGAAGAAAGUGAAAAAGGUGAUUUUGUCAUCCUGUCUUUAAUUCAAAAUAAAGGUUAACUUAUAAUCUUUUUCAGUUUUGGUCAGUAAUUUGAUGUCAGUUUCUUGCUCCAGAAAUUGUUGAAUUCGCUUGAGGAGCUAGAGGAGUUAAAUCCAGAAGUUAAACAGAAGAAAUGGAUAUCAAAACAGCGGGCAUGUCUAUGAAACUGGCCAAAGUCCACCUCGUAGAGAUAAAAAGAAAGUUGAAAGUGUGGGGACUUGUAGCUCAAGUACUGGUGGCGAGAAUUUAUCGCGACACCCAACACCAAAGUUUCCCUUUGGUUUCUGUGGUAAUAAGAGAUUAAAGAAAGGUAAUCUCUUUUUACCUUACAUGGUUAUAACUUAUAAGGAAUCCAUGCUAUAUGAUAAAGUAGUAUGGGGUUCACAUCUAAAACCAAUUGGCAAUGGGUGGAGUGGCCCAAACUCUUAUUAACCCACAGACAAGGUCCCAUAUUCCCGAUGUGGGAUAUAUAUCUCAACACGCCCCCGCACGUGUAGCGAAUCUUCAAGUCUAACACGUGGACAACAUUUGGGUGACGUGGAGUUCGUGUGGCCAUUGGGCUUCACACGUGGACGUGGGUAACCCGCUCUGAUACCAUGAUAAAGUAGUCUGGGGUUCACAUCCAAAACUAAUUGGCAAUGGGUGGAGUGGCCCAAACUCUUAUUAACCCAUAGGCAAGGUCCCAUAUUCCCGAUGUGGGAUAUAUAUCUCAACACUAUAUGACCAUUGAACUUGCUCUAGAAAGCCUUAUGGUUUCUGAAACCCCUUGAAGUUUACCCUUUUAUGUAUUUCCAAAGAAGUUAUAUGCAAUUUGAAUAUGAAGAAUAUCUGAUUUUGUGUCUAUCAAGAAAUCCUAUGUUGAGACUGUUGGGUUAUGCGGAAGAAUAAACUGUAGAAUGGAAUCAGAACUCACAACCACAAAUGUAAAAUGUAGCGGAAAGAAAAUGAUAAAGAACACCGGGUAUUAACUUGGUUUGGCAAAGUGCCUACGUCCACGGGGCAAUAACAACAAAGAACCUCCACUAUUCGAAUAAAAGUUACACGGAGAGAAACACUACUUCAAGACUCACUCUUGAAGGGAUACACUCUCACACACACUUUGAUUUGUUACACACACAAACUCUCAACUUGGAGUUUUCUCUCUAUCUCACACUCUUGUAUAGCACAAGGUGAACUCACCGGUUCUUCUAUAUCUUUUGCACCAUUGCAAAUGCCUCUAUAUAUAGGCAAAUAUAUGCAUGCAUUCUUCAUGCACUUUCCAUGCAAAUCCUUCACGUCCAUGCACAAGGAAGAGAAUUCAAACUUCUUCCUUAAUUCAAGCUUCAAUUUUUGUAUGCACCAUCAAUGCAUCUCCAUCAUUUUGUCAAACUUUUCAGCCACCAACAAGCUUACACAUAUAGGCUCUCUCUCUUGCAUUUCAACAUAUACACACUACCAACUUUGCUAUUCAUAUACCAUCUUGCCUCUUGGUUAAUUGAAUGGGUCUUGAGGCUUCACCGAAAAGGUUUUUCACAUGUAGUAAACUACAUGACAUCCUCCUCCAAAUAAGGAGGGAAAUUUGACCCAUCAGAGACCUCCAACUGAGUUUUCUGUAGUACAUAUUAUUACCUCCCAUGAACUCAGGCUUCCUAUCUCAAUAGUCUCUAGCUGGAAGAACAUGACUGGAAGCUUCCCACUCCAUGCAGACCAAUGCCACAGGUAAAACUCACCUACACAAAUCUUAUCCUUCUCUGUCAUUUGUCUAGAGAAGUUUCUAAACCUGCAUGACAGACUAGUUAAAUGUCACUUUCCAUUUAGUAUAUUUUGUACUGUUAUAUAAUAAUCACGCUUUUCCUAAUCUAUUCCUGUAAUCAAAAGUAGAAUGUCGCAAUUGAAACUGUGGAGAUCUCAUCUUGCUGAUCUAAGACACAAAUUAUUGCUAAAUUGAUUAGGUCCAUUUACAUAUGCAUUUACAUUUUAAUUAAGCAAAGCUAGUAAGGUCUCAAGUUGUGAUACUUCUUAUUUUGCUUAUGUACAUGAGCCUCUUUUGUUGACACAGCCUAUGUUAUAUUGAAUGUGGGAAUUUUUCAGGCACCUCCGGCAAUUAACCAGGCCACUGCACCACCAGUUGAAGAAGAUAUAGAGUUGGCCAAGGCUAUUGAUCCCUCCAUUCAGUCUGCUUUCCAGGAGAGGCCACCCUUUUUUGAUCCACUCCAGAUUCAUGAAACAAUAGCAUAAAGUAGUUCUAGCACCUCCAUGGAUAAUGGAGACUUGUCACAACAUGAAACUAGUCCAGGAUCACAUUCACAUUCAAAGAUCCACUUUAUCUCCACCAUUCAAACAUCUACUACCUCAGACUCAAUCCGAGCAUCUCCAACACCUUCAGCUCCACCAGUUUCAGAUGAUUAUCUAGAUGAUCCUUUUCAGUGUCGAUC
This 2702-nucleotide long non-coding RNA is filed under the name Fragaria vesca (wild strawberry). RNAcentral describes it as "long non-coding RNA (FVES_LNC001639)". The record is from RNAcentral. Lineage: Eukaryota; Viridiplantae; Streptophyta; Magnoliopsida; Rosales; Rosaceae.